Long non-coding RNA from Rhipicephalus sanguineus (brown dog tick), 2780 nucleotides. RefSeq lists it as uncharacterized. Lineage: Eukaryota; Metazoa; Arthropoda; Arachnida; Ixodida; Ixodidae. The record is from RefSeq and is a predicted model, not a curated record. The transcript is spliced from 4 exons.
UCAGACUCUGCCCUUAUGAAAAUGAGUCUUGAGUGUCUAGUGUCGACUAGGUGCGCUCCUAAUGAGUCACUAGACAGACAUUAGACAUGCAAAGCCUAAUGUCGUUUAACAUUAAGUGUACAUCGGAGAGUCAAAUGACCAUGUGCACUUUAAUUUCUGGUGACUGAAGUGUUCAGACUUUCAGUUGCCGUUCCUAAUGUCAAAACGCGCAUCACAACAAAGAAGUUAAAUAGCCUUAAUCGCCACCGUAAAAUCAGUUUAUCACAAUAGACAAGUUCGUCUUUCAGAGACUACAAGCAAUAAACAAUUUGUGUUGCAAUGUACACAAAUAUCGUGUUUCAGUAGAAUGCGUAAAUAUUUUACAUAUAUCGCCCAUGCACCGGCGAUCGAAGAAUUGCUGACGACCGCAGCAAGGUUCAUUAUAUUACCUGCCGUAUAUAUUGAAGUAAGCAUUUCCUUGUUUUUAGAAGGCAUGAGUCGAUCACAUACCCAAACAUGAACAGAUAUGAUCAAGUGACACUGCGAACACUCGCUCAGGGGCCCGUGUUGCCCAUUUGUCCAGUAGAAAUUAACGGAGGAGAGUGGGGAUUACCCGCACGGCGUCGCGAAGGAUUUUGGGGGGCGGAGAAGAACUGGAACUGUGGACAAUGGGUGACGUACAGAAAAAAAGUUCGUUAUUGUUGUGAUAAAAAUUAGGGACUGUUCUUAUGCAUGGUGCACUUACAUAUAUGUCCAAAACAGAAUGUUGUUGGUUGCAAAGAUACGCGGACAAGCGCUUUUCCCAACCUCAAACUACUGUCUCUAUCUCUCCUCGCUGUUGCAACGCUGGUCAGAAGCAGCCGACAACCAAAGUUCGAUUUGGCCCAACGUCGCGUACAUCCUUCUCCCGCCCCGCCUCCUCGUAAUGUCGUCUCCACGCGACUCUCUUCCGUUCUCCACGGCGUCAACUCCUCUCUCCCUUCACUCCUUCCUUGUCCCAUUCACCUCCUCUGUGUGCAACGUUGGGUGUCGCCUAUCACACCCUACCCAUUCCCUCCUCCUAUCAUAAUCCCUACCUCUUUCUAUCCACGGGAGAGGGCAGUAACUUGAAACAAAAAAGCGUUUCUUUUGACAAAACAAAAUGUAUAGUUGCAUAACAAAAUCGAACAGCCAUAACACAUUCCCAACAUGCACACACGGGUUAAAAAAAGCCAUAAAUACACUUUUUUUUAUGUACAGUGACAAAUAAAAACAACAACAUUGCUUUAUUUUCUACGGAGCGCUGUUUGAAGAGAGGGUCAGCGCGCACCAAGGAGAUAUUUACAUUUGUUUUGAUUUAUGCAGCGUCAUUUCGCGUUUUUGCACUUGUGAAAAACGUCGCACCUUUUACGUGCACCUCACAGUCAAAAUAGCGCCUUCGUCUUCAAGUGAGCGCUCGUCACCCUCCACCUUUCCCGACGACUCGCCUAGGGAGCUUCUGACGAAUUUCACUAGCAAAUGGCUGUAUAAGCCUGAGACGGCCGCUCGAACAAUGAAAUGGCCGUCACAUGAGGUACGGAAGGUUCACAAACCAAAACUAAAUUCGAAACGCGCGCCGAACCGGACUAUUUCGCGGAGCAGUACAUGUGCAGUAGCUCCGCCCCCGUAGCCUUCCCUUCAUUGCCAAGAAAAGUUGUCCUUGGGGGCGCUUUAGUUGUUUGACGGGUGCACGGUGCGCGCGGUUUGUGUGUGUGUGUGCCAUGCUGUGUUCUGCAAUGCUUCGUUACCACGUUUAUCGAUUAUGCACGUUGGUUACUUGAUUCAAUGUCAAGUGUACCUUCCAAGACGAUCUAGGUCCUAGUCUCGUGACUGAAGGCGAGUGCGGACGUACAGAAGCCUUUUGACAAGACUGUCGCCGAGUGUACGGUACAUUGUGGACUGUAAAGCUGAAGAGUGCACAGUGGAUGCCUGAUUUGGGAACCGAGUGGUGAUCGUCUGGGCGGUGUAUUCACUCUGCGGGGAUGAUGGCCAGAGGAAGGAUGAUAGACAGACGACAGCUUGCAGACGAAGAUGGGAGCGUUCUACCUGUGAGCCUGGUCGAGCUUAUAUUUUAUGGAUACACAUGCAUGGAUACACAUACAUGGAUUCCCUACAAGGACCCUGCGCAUCAAAAGCAAUCUGUCUUCAAUGUUAAGUAGACAGAUUAAACGAAACGAAGAUAUGACAGGUGUACACCAUAUUUUUCUUUCAUUUAACCUCUGCAUGUUUCCCAGUCAAUAAAUGUUUUUAUCCAUUUUCUUUUGUUGAGAAAUGUCUUUGUACAUCACAAGUGUCGUAGAAGGUGCAUACAUGCACUUUUGUAUGAUGCUUGGCUGCAUGUGUAUCAACCAGCAAACACAUUGUCAGGCACAACUAAUAUGUGAUUCCGUUCUAUCAUCCGGACAUAUCAUAAAUCUUAUCAUGCACUGUAAUAGUUCUGUUUCAGGAAUGUUAUGAAUGUCAUUGGCCACGAAGCACAAGCUUGGCCGAGGGUCAUUGCAAACAGGAUGUUUCAUACUCACAAGAAAGUCACUCAUAAGGACACAUUAGAAUGACGGUGGCCAAUAUGUUUUUGAAUGACAUUAUGAGUACAUUAAAACAAUUCUGAAGAAAUACAUUAGAGAAUCAAAUGAGUGUUGAUGUCAAAGGUCGUUUCAUGCUCACUAGACUAUCACAUGUUAAUACGCAUCGGACUAUCACAUGUUAAUCCGCAUCAGACUAUCACAUGUUAAUACGCAUCAGAAUGAUCGGCCAAUAUGUUUUUGAAUGGCAUUUCAAAUACA